GACGUAGGGCGCGAGCGUUGUCCGGAUUAUUGGGCGUAAAGAGCUCGUAGGCGGCUUGUCGCGUCGUUCGUGAAACCUGCAGCUCAACUGCAGGCUGCGGUCGAUACGGGCAGGCUAGAGUCGGUAGGGAGACUGGAAUUCCUGGUGUAGCGGUGAAUGCGCAGAUAUCAGGAGGAACACCGGUGGCGAAGGCAGUGUUCUGGCCAGUACUGACGCUGGAGGAGCGAAGCGUGGGAGCAAACAGG
RNAcentral lists this ribosomal RNA (245 nucleotides) under uncultured bacterium. Its description in RNAcentral is "partial 16S ribosomal RNA". It matches the Rfam family "Bacterial small subunit ribosomal RNA", at positions 524 to 776 of the family's 1533-position model. The record is from RNAcentral.